This 28-nucleotide non-coding RNA is filed under the name Cricetulus griseus (Chinese hamster). Lineage: Eukaryota; Metazoa; Chordata; Mammalia; Rodentia; Cricetidae. The record is from RNAcentral.
GAAACAUACUUUGGCCCUGAAACUAGAG